RNAcentral lists this ribosomal RNA (3173 nucleotides) under Candidatus Nomurabacteria bacterium UBA4124. RNAcentral describes it as "bacterial LSU rRNA". It matches the Rfam family "Bacterial large subunit ribosomal RNA". The record is from RNAcentral. Lineage: Bacteria; Candidatus Nomuraibacteriota.
AUAGGAAAUUAAGAGCAUAUGGUGGAUGCCUAGGUUCUGCAUGGCGAUGAAAGACGCGAGAGGCGGCGAUACGCUUCGGGGAGGUGUCUCUAACCUUUGAUCCGGAGAUUUCUGAAUGGGGAAACCCUAUUGAGCAAACCUCAAUAACUCCACAGCAUAAGACUGUCGAGAGCACACCCAGGGAAGUGAAACAUCUCAGUACCUGGAGGAAAAGAAAAAAAUGUGACGUAGUCACGAGAUUCCCUGAGUAGCGGCGAGCGAAACGGGAACAGCCCAAACCGUAGUCUUCGGACUGCGGGGUUGUAGGGCAAUAACGUCGUUUUAUUACGAGAAGAGUUACAAAGAGUAUAUAUAGAAAAAGCUGUUGGAAAUCAGCGCCAUAGUAGGUGAUAGCCCUGUAUUCGAAAUGUAUACACCUCUUUUGUUAUUGUUCCUGAGUACUUCCGGACACGAAUAGCCGGGAGGAAUCUGCCAGAACUAACUGGUAAGGCUAAAUACAUUGCAGAAACCGAUAGUGAACUAGUACCGUGAGGGAAAGGUGAAAAGUAGUCCGAUAGGACAGUGAAAUAGUACUGAAACCAUAUGUUUACAAGGAGUCGGAAAUGGGUAUUUAUAUCCAUCACGGCGUGCCUAUUGAAGAAUGAGCCAACGAGUUUAUGUGUGCGGCUUGACUAAGGGCUAAAGGUCCGGAGUCGUAGCGAAAGCAAGUGUUAAUAGCGCGUCUGCCAUUUAUGGCGGUCGUAUACAUAAGACCCGAAGCCAGGUGAGCUAUCCAUGAGCAGGGUGAAGUGCUGAGAAAUCAGCAUGGAGGCCCGAACCGGUAGAUCGUACAACGUCUUCGGAUGACUUGUGGAUUGGAGUGAAAAGCUAAUCGAACCUGGUAAUAGCUGGUUCUCUCCGAAAUAGCUUUAGGGUUAGCGUCACGUGUUCCCUUUGGGGGUAGAGCACUGGAAAGUUUCGACAGGGAGCAAUCUCGCGAAAUUUAUCAAACUCCGAAUACCAAAGAUUAAGAACGUGGCAGUUAGACUACGGGGGCUAAGCUCCGUCAGUCAAAAGGGAAACAGCCCAGAUCUCUAAAUAAGGUCCCUAAAUAUACGCUCAGUGCGUCUUAAGGAUGUGAGAUUUCUCUGACAAUGAGGAAGUUGGCUUAGAAGCAGCCAUCUUUUAAAGAAAGCGUAACAGCUCACUCAUCGAGAGAUUUUGCGCCGCAGAUAAUCGGGGCUCAAGCGUAUUACCGAAUUUGAGGGCUUAUGCAUUUAUGCAUGAGCGGUAGGAGAGUAUUCCACUCUAGCAGUGAAGCCAAAGGCGUGAGCCAUGGUGGAGCGUGUGGAAGUAAGAAUGUUGGCACAAGUAACCGCAAGUAGGGUGAGAUCCCCUGCCGCCGAAACACUAAGGUUUCCUGGGCAACGGUAAUCGUCCCAGGGUUAGUCGGGUCCUAAGGCAAUGGCGAAAGCCGCAGUCGAUGGACACAGGGUUAAUAUUCCCUGACUUCUUUAAUAUUCGAUGGAGUGACGAAGAGUAGUAGUAUGUGCCGGUAAUUGGAUUCCGGUAGGCAACUCGAAUGUGCAGGAUAGGUAAAUCCGUUCUGCUGACUUUAAUGUCAACACCAGGGUUGUCUCGUGCAGAGGUACGCCAAAGCGAAGACAUGUGAGCACACUUCCGAGAAAAACUUCUAAGAUUAGUAUUAGAGAACCCGUACCGUAAACCGACACAGGUAGUGAGGUCGAGUAGACCAAGGCGAACGAGUAAGAGAUCCCCAAGGAACUCGGCAAAUAAGCAGCCGUAACUUCGGAAUAAGGCUUCCCCUCAGCAAUGGGGGGCGCAGCGAAAGUUUUCCUGGCAACUGUUUACCAAAAACACAGCUCCCUGCGAACUCGUAAGAGUAUGUAUAGGGGGUGACACCUGACCGAUGCCAGAAGGUUAAAUACGGGUGGUGAUCUCGCAAGAGUGAGCUGACCUGUAUAAGCCCUGGUGAAUGUCGGCCGUAACUAUAACGGUCCUAAGGUUCUCGGUUUGUCUGCAGUAUUUAUAUUGCGGACGAAUCGAGAACGGACUGGGACUGUUAUAGUGUGUAAGUAAACAGAUUAAUACACCAAUUUAAAAAUGCUACCUACCACUCAGUAAUGGGUGGAACAGUCCAUUGUGAUUAACGAGAGACCAACGUCACAGACCCGACUUCGAAAGAAAGGGUUAAGAGAGAGUCCAUCUUGAUAGGAAUAGAUGAGCGAAAUUCCUUGUCGGGUAAGUUCCGACGCGCACGAAUGGUGUAAUGACUGGGAAGCUGUCUCGGGGAUUUGCUCGGUGAAAAUACAAUACCGGUGAAGAUGCCGGUUACCUGCAGUUAGACGAAAAGACCCCGGAAGCUUUACUAUAGCUUGGUAUUGGGCAUGUUUGUGUAUUACGUAGAAUAGGAAGGAGACUUUGAAGCGCCGCUCUCGGGCCGCGUGGAGUCGUCAGUGAAAUACUUCUUUUUACAUGGGCAUGUUCUAACCCUGACGGAAAAAACGUUAGGGAACAGUGCCUGGUUGGUAGUUUUACUGGGGCGGUAUCCUCCUAAAGAGUAACGGAGGAGUUCAAAGGUACGCUAGGCGCGAAUGGAAACCGUGCCGAUAGUGCAAUGGCAUAAGCGUGCUUGACUGUAAGACGGCCAUGUCGAGCAGGUACGAAAGUAGAACAUAGUGAACCGACAAUUCGCAUUAGAUGCGGUUGAAGAUUAACGGAUAGAAGCUACUCCGGGGAUAACAGGCUAGUUCCGCCUAAGAGUUCAUAUCGACGGCGGAGUUCGGCACCUCGAUGUCGGCUCACCUUAUCCCGGGGCUGGAGAAGGUCCCAAGGGUAUGGCUGUUCGCCAUUUAAAAAGGUACGCGAGCUGGGUUCAGACCGUCCAGGAAUUAGUUGCAACAAAAGAUUUAUCUGCGUUGUCUCUGAUUUCUGGAUCGUCUGAAUCCCGAGGAAAAUUUUUUGAUUAUUUUUAAAUGAAAUAUAAAAAUAUGUUUUUGUCUUUUCGUCUAAGAUAUUUUAUAUAGAUCCUGCAAUUUCUAUAUAAAGUAAAAGAUAUAAUAUUUGCUAUUACCAAGGUAAUACAAAUAAAAAGAGAACCAUCCUAUUACGGCGGUCUCAUGUAGUGAUACAUGAUGACAUGCUCAACUAAUAUCGGAGAAACCCUCAGCGAC